UGAGGAAUAUUGGUCAAUGGGCGGGGAGCCUGAACCAGCCAAGUCGCGUGAGGGAAGACGGUCCUAUGGAUUGUAAACCUCUUUUUGUCGGGGAGCAAAGAGGCCACGUGUGGUCAAAAGCGAGGACGUACCGAAAGAAAAGCAGUCGGACUAACCUCGU
RNAcentral lists this ribosomal RNA (160 nucleotides) under uncultured bacterium. RNAcentral's name for it is "partial 16S ribosomal RNA". It matches the Rfam family "Bacterial small subunit ribosomal RNA", at positions 355 to 506 of the family's 1533-position model. The record is from RNAcentral.